UCCAAGUUUGAGAUUUUUUCUUUGAUUUAUUUUUUUAUUUUUUUAUUUUUUAUUUUUUAUUUUUUUUCGUUUCUCGUUUUUUUUUUUUUUUUGAAAAAAUAUUCCGAUUGCCAUGAUGAAAUCCAAAUGCUAAAUGACCUAAAAAUGAAUGCAUGCAUGAGGUGUAAAGCGUAUGCUUCCAGGAAAAAUGAAGGGUAAAUUUUGGGGUAUUACACUAUGUACGUGAAUCACCACAUUUAUUUCAAUGCAACUUCCCUAUUUUUCAAUUGUUCUCGUUGAACAUUUUAUCUUAAUUUCUUUUACUUUUGAGUUAU
RNAcentral lists this long non-coding RNA (314 nucleotides) under Lathyrus oleraceus (garden pea). RNAcentral's name for it is "Pisum sativum (pea) long non-coding RNA (PSAT_LNC041982)". The record is from RNAcentral. Lineage: Eukaryota; Viridiplantae; Streptophyta; Magnoliopsida; Fabales; Fabaceae.